This is a long non-coding RNA of Mizuhopecten yessoensis (Yesso scallop), 376 nucleotides long. RefSeq lists it as uncharacterized. The record is from RefSeq and is a predicted model, not a curated record. The transcript is spliced from 3 exons. NCBI's taxonomy places the organism in Eukaryota, Metazoa, Mollusca, Bivalvia, Pectinida, Pectinidae.
GGCGCCUGUACGGCAAACUUAGACAAGGUUUAAGAACCUAAUAGGAAAAUUAAGCCCCCCACAGACUUUCUACCUUCCCCAGGGAAGUUUGUAAUGAGGAAAAAGAAAGGUGUUUUUGAAGAAAAACAAAGGAAGAUAUUUACAGUAAAGAUACCUAAGGUAAAUACCACUUUUGGUAGGAAGUCUUUUGGCUUUGAGGAUGCUCAGGUGUGGAACAGGAACGUCAAACAUAAAAAACUACAAUGGAUUGUGUAGACUGUUGCGCACCUGGGACGGUGGAUCCUGCAAAUUCGUUUUAUGUUCCUGUACCAUUUUAGUUCAUUUUUGUUGUUGUUCUUUGCAACCAAUAUUGUUGUCUCCACUAACUGGUCCUCUA